UACAGAAGAACUCAGAAUUGUAUUUUUCACCGAGUUCUUUAAAUAAUCUUGUGCCAAUUCUCAAUUGCGCUGGGAAAAUUGUCACAUAUUGAACAUCGAUUUGUUUUCCCCCUCAGCAAUGCUUACUACAUUUUUCCGAGGAAUUUGUUCUCGUUUGGAAGUACCGAAUAUAACAUCAACGAUAAUUGAUCUAUUUAUUCGUUGGUAGCAUACUUAGUAGGAAGUCACUUAUUAAUUCGACGAAGCAAUUGAGAAUCGCUCGAAGGUCUCGUUUCUGUUAAGCGCGCCGGUUGAAUCCUUCAAGAUGUUGAAUUAUUAAUUGUCUCGAGAUACAACGUACACGGGAAAGGCAGCAGGCGAUAUCCGUGUGCAACAGCAAGAGCCGUGAAGAGAGGGGCCAUAGCGCGUGCCGUAGCGGCGCAUUACCUUGAUUGCAAUGGCAGGAAACGCUAAUUCACUAAUGCGUCGCUUCCAUACUCGUAUACUACCACUUUGCUUUCGUACGCCGCGAGUGUGGCUCGGUUAUUGAGGAUAGUUUAGGAUUAUACGCUAACGAUUCCGCGUUGCGGUCGUUCUGUAUUUGUUACUAGACAAUCUCGUAAACAUAUUGGUUUUAUAUGGAUUAAAAUAAACGAGUAAGAAAUUAAAAGUUGAUGCAUGAAUGUGAAGGCGAAUUGGCUUCGUAAUUAAGUACUUGGUACCGUAGGGUCUCUGUCACAGAUUGCAACCAUCGAGAUGCCCUACUAAUGUCACUGUAAUAACGCAUUUGGAUUUAAUAAAUGGAUAUGGACUAGGUCUUAUACUUAAUAGAGUAAUUAAGGUGUAACAGAUCCUGUAUCAUAUAUCUAUGGCUAUUAAUAAGCAUAAACACAACAUACUCGUUCAAGUAAAUACGUUAAAUUUAAAUGAUUAAACGAGGCGUAAAUUACAAAUAUCAGAAACAGAACGGAUUACAUUAUCAAAUUAAAUUAUACGCGCAUUACGCAAAAUGCAGGUGAAUUAAUCAGAAAUCAAAAGGAUGAUAGAAAAUAUCUACUUUAAUUGUAUUCUACUGUUCCAAUUCAGAAUUGAAAAUAAUUCAAUUAAUGAUUUAGUAUUCCAAUAGUAACCGAUAUUAAAGUCAUAAAUAAACGAACCUUAGAGUAAUGGUUCCUACCACCUAUUCCUAUACCACCCUCGCAUAAUAGCGCCCGAAAAUUGCACAUUCUACUAUACAGGCCAAGUAUAAUUGGUUGCGCAACCACGUAAGUUAACUCCAUUACUGAAUCCCCUAAUAGACAAAUCGUGUUCCCAUUUCUUUCUCUCUUUCUCGCUGUCUAUUCGUUCCAUUAUUUGCCUAAACAAUCAUAAAACAAAAACGACUUAAAUGUUCGUUACGAAAGGAUAUAUUUAAAUUGAUGAUCAUA
Molecule: long non-coding RNA, 1406 nt
Organism: Bombus pyrosoma
Lineage: Eukaryota; Metazoa; Arthropoda; Insecta; Hymenoptera; Apidae
Exons: 3
Source: RefSeq, a predicted model, not a curated record